AUGCAUAGCGCAGCUACACAUGCAGUCGACGGUAACAGGAAGCAUCUGUGCUGCUUUGCUGACGAGUGGCGGACGGGUGAGUAAUGUCUGGGAAACUGCCUGAUGGAGGGGGAUAACUACUGGAAACGGUAGCUAAUACCGCAUAACGUCACACGACCGAAGAGGGGGACCUUCAGGCCUCUUGCCGUCGGAUGUGCCCAGAUGGGAUUAGCUAUUACGUGGGGUAACGGCUCACCUACGCGACGAUCCCUAUCUGGUCUGAAAGGAUGACCAGCCACACUGGAACUGAGACACGGUCCAGACUCCUACGGGAGGCAGCAGUGGGGAAUAUUGCACAAUGGGCGCGAGCCUGAUGCAGCCAUGCCGCGUGUAUGAAGAAGGCCUUCGGGUUGUAAAGUACUUUCACCGGGGAGGAAGGCGACAGGGUUAAUAACCCUGUCGAUUGACGUUACCCGCACAAAAAGCACCGGCUAACUCCGUGCCAGCAGCCGCGGUAAUACGGAUGGUGCAAGCGUUAAUCGGAAUUACUGGGCGUAAAGCGCACGCACGCGGUCUGUCAAGUCUGAUGUGAAAUCCCCGGGCUCAACCUGGGAACUGCAUUCGAAACUGACAGGCUAGAAUCUUGAAGAGGGGGGUAGAAUUCCAGGUGUAGCGGUGAAAUGCGUAUAGAUCUGGAUGAAUACCGAGUGGCAAAGGCGGCCCCCUGGACAAAGACUGACGCUCACGUGCGAGAGCGUGGGGAUCAAACAGGAUUAGAUACCCUGGAUACUCCACGCCGUAAAACGAUGUCCUACUUAGAACGUUCGUGCCCCUUGAGGUCGUGGCCUUCCGGAAGCUUAGCGCGUUAAAGUCGAACCGCCCUGGGGGACUACGGACCGCAAGG
RNAcentral lists this ribosomal RNA (883 nucleotides) under Enterobacter cloacae. Its description in RNAcentral is "bacterial SSU rRNA". It matches the Rfam family "Bacterial small subunit ribosomal RNA", at positions 44 to 893 of the family's 1533-position model. The record is from RNAcentral. Lineage: Bacteria; Pseudomonadati; Pseudomonadota; Gammaproteobacteria; Enterobacterales; Enterobacteriaceae.